CCCCCCUAGGGUUCCGGAUGGUGAGCGGCGAAGGUAAGGCGAGCUCGCAGAGGCAUCGGCGGCGGCGGCGGAGACGGAGAGAGGCAGGCAGGCAGGGCGAGGGCGAGAGACGGAGGGAGGGAGCGAGCGAGGCGGACCAGACAGACAGACAGGCGGGCGGGCGGGCAGAGCGAGCCACCCGCCAGGCUGCGCUCAGCCCCGCUCGCAGCGGAGAGAGCAGAAGGCAGGAGGAGGGAGGGGAGGAGGGGGAGGGAGGGAGAGAGGGAAUCCAGCUACCACCACCCAAAGCCAGCGUCUGCUUUCUGUCCUCAUUUCCUUUUCCCACCCAGCUUGGAGAGCAGAGAAAGGCAGAGAGAGCGAGAAAUAGAGACAGUCUGAGAGACAGACAGACAGCCAGAGAGAGCGGGAGGGAGGAGGGCGGAGGAGGAGGAGCAGGAGGACUACGCGGGGCGCGUUCCCUCCCAGCAGCCGGGCGCCCGCGUCGCUGCCACCGCCGGAAGACAGACGCCCCCUAAAACCCCUCGCCUGGCUCGGACCCACGGAGCCGGCAGCCCAGCACUCCGGCCUCCCCCUCUUCCCAGAGCCUCCUCUGCCUGGGGAGGCAUCUCCACCCCUUCACCGCCCCAGGCUCUUCAUUCCUGGACAGUGAGGCUGGACAUCUGGUUCAAAGCUGCCCCACCCAAGACCCUGUGCUCUGGGCACCCUGGCCUGGGCUUGAAGGUUUGGGGCCCCUUUGGGGUGGGGGCAGAGCCCGUUGGCACCUGGUCACCCUGGUCUUUCAGCCAGGAAACUCUCAGUACCCAGCCCUGCCCUGGCUCUGGCACGUAUGUGGGAGAGGGGGACAGGGGGAGUUGCCCCCAGCCUACACUUUUUCAAGUGCUUGCCAAAUCACUGCCCCCUCCCCCAACCCCUUGGCUCACCUGAGAGGGACAUGGGGCCUGGGGCUUCAGGGAGAGGGAUGGAGAAGGUGUUGGAUUGACACUACCCCCCACCACCAAAUCCAGGCUGCGGGGCUUGGUCUCCCUGGGAGUCAGUUCCGACAGUGAAGGUUACUUUACUAGAUGCAUGAUUUUAAACGGAAUCUCCACCAUCUGUUCCACCCCCUAAUUACAGAUGCACAGAAUCCGCCUCAGAGGGCAGCAUGAGGGGAGUGAUUUAGAGGCUGAGCUGCUUCUGCCUGCGUUAGGACUGGGGAGAUAGGGGGGCUCUGGGUAUUGCUCACAGCCCCCAAAUCCCUUCUCUUUCCUAGGGGUCCCUCGUGCCUCCUCUCUUGCUGAGGGAAGGCUCACAGAGGGGCUCCACUGACCCCCAAGACCCGAAAGAGGAAGCAAUGGCAGUGCUGUGGGAAGGGUCCCCAAGACAUCGCCUGUGUCCCAGUCCAGCAAGUCCUGGGAUGCAGGCUCCAUUAGGGCCUUAAAAAAUUCAGUGAAUCGAUCUCCUGCCUGCCUCUUGUGCCCUGGGGAGCCACAGGCACUGGCUUAGUCCAGCUGUCUGCCCACCCUGGGGGUAGCAGGGAUUGGUGAGAUAGGGAGGGGUUCGGAGCAGAGGUGGGGCAGCCAGGUUCUGGCAGCAAAGCCCACGGGCAGGCAUGCCAAGAUCCACCGGGGGUGUUUGCACAUAUGUGCCCAUCCGCCCUGGCGCAGCUGGCGUGCCUGACCCCAGCUGGAGCCAUGGCUGUGGGACUGGGGCAGCACCAAGGGCCAGAGGGAAUGGGCCAGGGCCUGGGCCUUAGAGGGUUCUGAGGGACACAGGGCUACACCCUGAGAAUGGGUCCAUCUUUGCCCAUGGACACCAGGGACCUGGGUCCCAGCCUGCCUGGGGGUAGUGGUGGCGGCAGCAGUGGGCACACUGCGGUAGACUCUGGAGCAUUCACUGCAGGGAGAGAGGGAGAGAGGUUGGGCUGGAGGAAUUUUAAAGAUUGCUGCAGGCAGGAGGGUCUCUGGAACCCUGUGGAGCGGGCAGUCAUGCAGAAGUAAUCCUAUCGCUGCCUGCCUGGAGGAGUGGAGGGGGAGGGGAGGGACGGAGCUGCUCCCCCUUCCCCACCUCAGCCCCUGCCCCAGCCAGCCCUGGAGGGAGCCCGGGACCCUAGGGGCCUUCCCUGAGGAGGCACCGUGUCUUCUCCGUUCCACCGAGGCCUGUGCCCCCUGGAGGGGCAGCACCGCAGCUGUUGCUCAGUUCCUUGCUCUGGGUUUUAUAAAUAAUGCAGCUCGGAGGUGGGGCCAACUCUGCCCCUGGUCACCUUGGGUCACCCAGUAUGGCACCUCCAGCUGGCAGUUCUUUGGCAGAGCCCCUCUCCUGUCCAGCCUGUGCCUCCUCAUCUGCUGUGUGAGCUUGGGCCAGGGGCCCAGCCUCUCUGAGCUGGGCCCAAGGUAGAGGAGUGUGGAAGAACCCAGAAACCCUGGUCCUUUCGUCCCACCCCCAGCCCUCACAGGUUAACCGGCAGCCGACUCAGCCAAUCCGGGCUGGAGAGGGAUGGCCUGUCUACAGGGCCUCCUCCGUUCCGGCCCCUCCAUUUUGCAGAUGGAGUAACCGAGUCCAGAGGGGCGCAAGGGUGGUUAAGGCCAGCCAGCUGGGGAGCCCCCUCCUUCCUGCCCCAUUCUGCUGUCACUCAGGCUCUUCUCAGCCUCAGCUCAGCUAAGCUAAGAGCAGGGCCUGGGGGGGGAGGGCGGGGGAUGUUUGGGAAAGUGGUUGCGGCUGAGAGGUUGCCAUGGCGAUGCUGCAGGAUGCCGAGCUGAAGUGGGGGUCCUACAGGGUCUCUGGGGCCCCCAGCUCUGCACCCCUGUGGUCUUCUCCUCCCCAUCUCCUGUCCCCCACCCAGAUGUCUGUCAGGCGGCUCUGGUGACAGGCUGGGUGGGUGACAGGUGGUGCAGGUGAUGGGCUGGGUGGGUGACGAGCUGGGUGGGUGACAGGUGGUGCGGGUGCGAGGCAGGCAGGUGACAAGCUGGGUGGUGACGGGCUCUGCGGAUGACAGGCAGGGGGUGUGGUUGGCGAGGAUGCUGUCUCCUGGCUGGUGGCCUGUUGCAGCCCCCUACCCUCAUGCGUGUGCACACAUAUAGACUCUGGGCUCAGAGCUUGGGGCUAAGAUACUAAUGAGGCUUAUUACUCGUGGAGGGGCAGGUGCCCAGGCUUACUAAUGAGAGGCCUUUAACGAAUAGGGGAGACAGCUAGGGGGCUUCAAGGAAUUGGUCUGGCCCUUCUGGGCUGAGACCCUGGGGGUCCUGAUCUGGCUCAAGGAUGAAGCUGGCAUCGCCUCCAGCCAGGUCAGGGAUCCCUCUUUCCACUUCUCCCUGGCCACUGGAUUUAUGUUAAUACUAACCACAGUUAUGAUCGCUACCACUGUUCAAGCACUUAUUAUGUAUCAGGCACUGUGCCAAGGCCUUUGCAUGCAUUUUCUCAUUUCAGCUCAACAGUCCUAGGAGGAAGGCACUAUUACCCCAUUUUACAGAUGGGGAGUCUGAGGCAGAGAAAAGGCACAGGACUUCAUCUAACAAGUUACCAGUGCAGUUAGGACAUUAAUCCGGGUCUAUGUGUCCCUAGAGCAUGUGCUCUUAACCACCUCACCAGUAAAACUCAGGUCUUAGUGCAGACUCCAGAUCCUCUCUCAGGGACUGGAAAAUGGGCAUGUGGUGGAGGGGUAAUCCCCAUAAACUCUUCAGCUCUGACUUGGGUGACUUUGAGGACUCCUCCAGGUAGCUGCUGUGACCUUACCCCUUCUGGGCCAGAUUCUGGACAGAGGGCAAGGCUUAAUGCUAAGGGGGCUGAGCCGAAAGGGGGUCACCUGGGAUAUCUGAGCCACUUUCUGCAUUGUGCAGUGGGAAGGCUGAGGCCCAGCGAGGAGCAGUCACCACCCAAGGUCACACACCCUGUGAGCUGUAGGGCCCCAUGGGAUCCCAGGUCUCCUGGCCUCUUGAAAGGGUAGAGCUGGGUGUGGUGCCAGAGCUGGGAGGCUACCUCCUCCUGGGCCCCACCCGCCAGCCUAGUUUCCUCCCUGGAUGUUGUGAGCCCCCAGCUUCUGGGAGGGUGUAGGGGUCUGUUGGCAGACUCCUUAGGGCCAUGCCCUCUCCCCAUCAAUCUGAGCCCCUAGUGUCAGUUGUGCCCCUCCCUUUGGAACCCACCGAGGUGGAAACUCCCUGGCAACAGCUGAUGGAUGGGUUAGGGCUUUGACAUUGGCCUGGGGCCACAGCAUGGCCCUGGAGGGACCAGGCUGGGGCUGGGGGGUGGGGGUUGGAGGGGAAUUUAAGGGAGAAGAAUUAGGUUCAUAAAUCAUGGAACAUCUCGUUUCUCCUCCUCAACCUUAAUCUCUUAGCAAACCUGCUCUCCAACUGCUCAUCCAAGGUGCUGAGGGUUGAGGGAGCCCACCUGCCCAUUCCCCACUCCCUCCAGCUGAUGCUCAUCCCCUCCGGAAAUUGCACCCUCCCACGGGAAAGAAAGAACUGCAGCCACUAUUGCUAGGCAGCACUAAGACAAGUCCAGAUGACUGGGUUUUGCCUCUGACUCAUUGUGAUGAGUAGGGCGGAGGGCUUCACUGCCUCAGUUUCCCCAACUUUGGACCUUAAAUCCUCUCCUGGUGUCUCUCAGCCCAGCCAGGAAGGAGAGCUAAGACCAAGAGGGAUUUAACAGAUACGGGACACACAGCCUUGUCCUCAGACCCCUAGGUCUGAGAGGAGAAGCAAAACCCUCACCUUGAGCGCCCUCGCACUUGGAGGCGAGGUGCAGAACCCAGGCUGGGUGUGUGCUGAG
Molecule: long non-coding RNA, 4740 nt
Filed under: Cercocebus atys (sooty mangabey)
Lineage: Eukaryota; Metazoa; Chordata; Mammalia; Primates; Cercopithecidae
Description: lncRNA (ENSCATG00000045730.1)
Source: RNAcentral